Molecule: ribosomal RNA, 594 nt
Filed under: uncultured bacterium
Lineage: Bacteria
Description: bacterial SSU rRNA
Rfam family: Bacterial small subunit ribosomal RNA
Source: RNAcentral
CCUACGGGAGGCAGCAGUGGGGAAUAUUGCACAAUGGGCGGAAGCCUGAUGCAGCGACGCUGCGUGAGGGAUGAAGGCCUUCGGGUUGUAAACCUCUUUCAGCAGGGACGAAGCGUGAGUGACGGUACCUGCAGAAGAAGCACCGGCUAACUACGUGCCAGCAGCCGCGGUAAUACGUAGGGUGCGAGCGUUGUCCGGAAUUACUGGGCGUAAAGAGUUCGUAGGCGGUUUGUCGCGUCGUUUGUGAAAACCCGGGGCUCAACUUCGGGCUUGCAGGCGAUACGGGCAGACUUGAGUGUUUCAGGGGAGACUGGAAUUCCUGGUGUAGCGGUGAAAUGCGCAGAUAUCAGGAGGAACACCGGUGGCGAAGGCGGGUCUCUGGGAAACAACUGACGCUGAGGAACGAAAGCGUGGGUAGCAAACAGGAUUAGAUACCCUGGUAGUCCACGCCGUAAACGGUGGGCGCUAGGUGUGGGUUCCUUCCACGGAAUCUGUGCCGUAGCUAACGCAUUAAGCGCCCGCCUGGGGAGUACGGCCGCAAGGCUAAAACUCAAAUGAAUUGACGGCUGAGACNGCGAGCGACGACGAGGAGAG